This 230-nucleotide ribosomal RNA is filed under the name uncultured bacterium. RNAcentral describes it as "partial 16S ribosomal RNA". It matches the Rfam family "Bacterial small subunit ribosomal RNA", at positions 118 to 350 of the family's 1533-position model. The record is from RNAcentral.
UGGGCAACCUGCCCCUAGCUCUGGGAUAACUCCGGGAAACCGGGGCUAAUACCGGAUACGACCUCGAGCGGCAUCUCUUGAGGUGGAAAGUUUUUCGGCUAGGGAUGGGCCCGCGGCCUAUCAGCUUGUUGGUGAGGUAACGGCCCACCAAGGCGACGACGGGUAGCUGGUCUGAGAGGACGACCAGCCACAUUGGGACUGAGAUACGGCCCAGACUCCUACGGGAGGCA